CCUACGGGUGGCAGCAGUGAGGAAUAUUGGUCAAUGGUCGGGAGACUGAACCAGCCAAGCCGCGUGAGGGAGGAAGGUACAGAGUAUCGUAAACCUCUUUUGUCAGGGAACAAAGACUGGGACGCGUCCCCGGAUGAGUGUACCUGAAGAAAAAGCAUCGGCUAACUCCGUGCCAGCAGCCGCGGUAAUACGGAGGAUGCGAGCGUUAUCCGGAUGUAUUGGGUUAAAGGGGUGCGCAGGCGGUCUGUUAAGUCAGCGGUCAAAGCCCGGGGCUCAACCCCGGCCCGCCGUUGAAACUGGCAGUCUAGAGUAGGAGAGAAGGAUGCGGAAUGCGCGGUGUAGCGGUGAAAUGCAUAGAUAUCGCGCAGAACACCGAUGGCGAAGGCAGCAUGCCGGCUCCACACUGACGCUGAGGCACGAAAGCGAGGGUAUCGAACAGGAUUAGAUACCCUGGUAGUC
RNAcentral lists this ribosomal RNA (459 nucleotides) under uncultured bacterium. RNAcentral's name for it is "partial 16S ribosomal RNA". It matches the Rfam family "Bacterial small subunit ribosomal RNA", at positions 338 to 795 of the family's 1533-position model. The record is from RNAcentral.